UUGAACGCUGGCGGCAGGCCUAACACAUGCAAGUCGAGCGGUAGCACAGAGAGCUUGCUCUCGGGUGACGAGCGGCGGACGGGUGAGUAAUGUCUGGGAAACUGCCUGAUGGAGGGGGAUAACUACUGGAAACGGUAGCUAAUACCGCAUAACGUCGCAAGACCAAAGUGGGGGACCUUCGGGCCUCAUGCCAUCAGAUGUGCCCAGAUGGGAUUAGCUAGUAGGUGGGGUAACGGCUCACCUAGGCGACGAUCCCUAGCUGGUCUGAGAGGAUGACCAGCCACACUGGAACUGAGACACGGUCCAGACUCCUACGGGAGGCAGCAGUGGGGAAUAUUGCACAAUGGGCGCAAGCCUGAUGCAGCCAUGCCUCGUGUGUGAAGAAGGCCUUCGGGUUGUAAAGCACUUUCAGCGGGGAGGAAGGCGGUGAGGUUAAUAACCUCAUCGAUUGACGUUACCCGCAGAAGAAGCACCGGCUAACUCCGUGCCAGCAGCCGCGGUAAUACGGAGGGUGCAAGCGUUAAUCGGGAUUACUGGGCGUAAAGCGCACGCAGGCGGUCUGUCAAGUCGGAUGUGAAAUCCCCGGGCUUAACCUGGGAACUGCAUUCGAAACUGGCAGGCUAGAGUCUUGUAGAGGGGGGUAGAAUUCCAGGUGUAGCGGUGAAAUGCGUAGAGAUCUGGAGGAAUACCGGUGGCGAAGGCGGCCCCCUGGACAAAGACUGACGCUCAGGUGCGAAAGCGUGGGGAGCAAACAGGAUUAGAUACCCUGGUAGUCCACGCCGUAAACGAUGUCGAUUUGGAGGUUGUGCCCUUGAGGCGUGGCUUCCGGAGCUAACGCGUUAAAUCGACCGCCUGGGGAGUACGGCCGCAAGGUUAAAACUCAAAUGAAUUGACGGGGGCCCGCACAAGCGGUGGAGCAUGUGGUUUAAUUCGAUGCAACGCGAAGAACCUUACCUGGUCUUGACAUCCACAGAACUUUCCAGAGAUGGAUUGGUGCCUUCGGGAACUGUGAGACAGGUGCUGCAUGGCUGUCGUCAGCUCGUGUUGUGAAAUGUUGGGUUAAGUCCCGCAACGAGCGCAACCCUUAUCCUUUGUUGCCAGCGGUUAGGCCGGGAACUCAAAGGAGACUGCCAGUGAUAAACUGGAGGAAGGUGGGGAUGGCGUCAAGUCAUCAUGGCCCUUACGACCAGGGCUACACACGUGCUACAAUGGCAUAUACAAAGAGAAGCGACCUCGCGAGAGCAAGCGGACCUCAUAAAGUAUGUCGUAGUCCGGAUUGGAGUCUGCAACUCGACUCCAUGAAGUCGGAAUCGCUAGUAAUCGUAGAUCAGAAUGCUACGGUGAAUACGUUCCCGGGCCUUGUACACACCGCCCGUCACACCAUGGGAGUGGGUUGCAAAAGAAGUAGGUAGCUUAACCUUCGGGAGGGCGCUUACCACUUUGUGAUUCAUGACUGGGGUGAAG
RNAcentral lists this ribosomal RNA (1464 nucleotides) under uncultured organism. RNAcentral's name for it is "SSU rRNA". It matches the Rfam family "Bacterial small subunit ribosomal RNA". The record is from RNAcentral.